GGGUGAGUAACGCGUGGGCAACCUGCCCUGUACCGGGGGACAACAGCCAGAAAUGGCUGCUAAUACCGCAUAAGCCUGCUGUGCCGCAUGACACAGCAGGGAAAACCACGGUGGUACAGGAUGGGCCCGCGUCUGAUUAGUUAGUUGGCAGGGUAACGGCCUACCAAGACAACGAUCAGUAGCCGGCUUGAGAGAGUGGACGGCCACAUUGGGACUGAGACACGGCCCAGACUCCUGCGGGAGGCAGCAGUGGGGAAUAUUGCACAAUGGGGGGAACCCUGAUGCAGCAAUGCCGCGUGGGUGAAGAAGCACUCCGGUGCGUAAAGCCCUGUCAGCAGGGAAGAAAAUGACAGUACCUGGACAAGAAGCCCCGGCUAACUACGUGCCAGCAGCCGCGGUAAUACGUAGGGGGCAAGCGUUAUCCGGAUUUACUGGGUGUAAAGGGAGCGCAGGCGGCGUGGCAAGUCAGAUGUGAAAACCCGGGGCCCAACCCCGGGAGUGCAUUUGAAACUGCCAUGCUGGAGUGCCGGAGAGGUAAGCGGAAUUCCUAGUGUAGCGGUGAAAUGCGUAGAUAUUAGGAGGAACACCAGUGGCGGAGGCGGCUUACUGGACGGUAACUGACGCUGAGGCUCGAAAGCGUGGGGAGCAAACAGGAUUAGAUACCCUGGUAGUCCACGCCGUAA
This 683-nucleotide ribosomal RNA is filed under the name uncultured bacterium. Its description in RNAcentral is "bacterial SSU rRNA". It matches the Rfam family "Bacterial small subunit ribosomal RNA", at positions 104 to 805 of the family's 1533-position model. The record is from RNAcentral.